GAUGAACGCUGGCGGCGUGCCUAACACAUGCAAGUCGAACGGAGUCCAGCCUUUAAGACCUUCGGGUCAAAGAGGGGAAGACUGAGUGGCGGACGGGUGAGUAACACGUGGGCAACCUGGCUCAUAGAGGGGGAUAACAGAGAGAAAUUUCUGCUAAUACCGCAUAAGCACACACUGCCGCAUGGCAGAGGGUGAAAAGAGAAUCGCUAUGAGAUGGACCCGCGUCUGAUUAGCCAGUUGGCAGGGUAAGAGCCUACCAAAGCGACGAUCAGUAGCCGAUCUGAGAGGAUGAACGGCCACAUUGGGACUGAGACACGGCCCAAACUCCUACGGGAGGCAGCAGUGGGGGAUAUUGCACAAUGGGGGGAACCCUGAUGCAGCGACGCCGCGUGAGUGAAGAAGUAUUUCGGUAUGUAAAGCUCUAUCAGCAGGGAAGAUAAUGACAGUACCUGAAGAAGAAGCCCCGGCUAACUACGUG
This 478-nucleotide ribosomal RNA is filed under the name uncultured bacterium. RNAcentral's name for it is "partial 16S ribosomal RNA". It matches the Rfam family "Bacterial small subunit ribosomal RNA", at positions 28 to 507 of the family's 1533-position model. The record is from RNAcentral.